Anas platyrhynchos (mallard) is the source of this 9331-nucleotide non-coding RNA. Lineage: Eukaryota; Metazoa; Chordata; Aves; Anseriformes; Anatidae. The record is from RefSeq and is a predicted model, not a curated record.
UUUGCUCUCCUGCAGCAGUGGCAGCUCUCCAGGAGUCUCUCGGAUGCUGCCCUGGGCUGGGAAAGCUGCAGUGCUGCAGGGAGGGACGGAGCAGGGGGGCCCUGCAGGACGAUCCUUCCCACCGCUCUGCGCAGCUCCUCCUCCUCCUCCUCCAGCACCAGCCCAGGGUCGUUUGACCUCCUCCAUGUAGCACAUCCUCCAUCCCGACCUGACCCUCGUUCACGCCAGUCCUGUUUCUCUUCUCUGUCUCCCUGCCGCAGACAACGCCGUAUCGGGUUGCGUUUUGAGGCGGGCGGGCUGUUUUCAGCCUCCAUAGAAAAUCCAUUUAUCAUAUCAGCCUUACAUUAGCCAAAGUACAGGAGAUAAAAAUUAUCUUGGAAAUCUAAACAUAGAUUCUAAUCUAAGAUGAGGCCAAGUCUGUAUGAGCUUUACAACAGACAGUGAGACCUGAAGUGGCUGGCUCAAGUACAGGGCCUCUCCAGGGCUUUCUCUGCCUCAACCACCGUGGGUCAACCUCCAGGAAGGAAGACGUUUCUAAGGAAACCGUGGAGGCCUUCCACCAAGGUGGCUGCAUGAAAGCGCUGAGCUGGUGAGAGUGACAAAAAGCAGUUCAUUGGAUAACGUAGAAAAAGAAACCGAAACCCCCACCGGUGAACAACCCGGGUUUCUGGAUCCAAAGCCUGACAAGGGGAUUUGUAACACCAGCGAGCACAACGUCACCCAUCACAGAGGUGUCUCCUGAGCUGGCACCUUCCUGCUGCCAGGGAGCUGAAAACGGGAGGUGAACGAUGACACGAGCGGGAGAUUUUACCACUUUCCUGCUUCUAUGCAUAUCUACUGUGACUGAACUCCCUUUCUCCUAGACAAACUCCACCCUUAGGAACAUUAUGUUUUAUAAGAUGGGGUAACAGACCCACAGCACCUCUGUUACAGACCAGCUGUAGGAGCUGACCGUGGCUCUGAUCAUUGUGUGGUGACUCUGCAGCAGUGUACAAUGAACGAGGCAUUACCCCAGGCAAGCUCACCUUUACUGUUUCGGUUUUUCCUUUUCUGUUCUGAAGGUGAACUCUUGCACCCACGCAGAAUUCAAGGGGGUAAGAAAACGCAUCAACCGAGCUGAUAGAAAAACAGUCCAGAUCUAUGUGGGCAGAGAAAUAAUCUGCUUUGCAGAAGGGCUCAAGCAGAGGGUGGAAGAAAGAAGGAGAACAAGAAGGAAAGACAGACAUCUGCCAUGCAGCUCCGGCACUCGCAGCAGAAGCAACGUGUUUGUUCAGACCAGAGCACAUACUUGUUUACCCAAGCAGUGCUGCUGUCACAUGCCGCGCACCAAACAAAACUCUACAUCAAAGUCUCCGAGCACUUGCUAAGCAGCAAGCAUGACCGUUUGUCAUGUAAGGUUACAUACAUGCUAUUUCACAGUGGAAUGCAGUACGUUGUGCUGGAACACAGUGGCAGACGCCUCCAAACAUGCUGAAUGAUGGAGUGUUUUUGUGCUGGGGGAAAACAUCGGUUAGCUAUUACACUGUGACCAUCAGGCUUGCUUUUGUUUCUUAUUUAGGUCUCUCUGCUGAAGUUGUGACAUCACAACAUUUCUCACUUGCAAUCUCUUUUUAUAAUUAUAUAUAUAUUUAUCAGGAUGCACUUCAUACUGGCACCUUUCUUAAUGUCAUCUCUGUGGUUCACUGGCUCAGCCUCUGGAACAAGAAAUGGCCGAGCAGAUGUGUGUGUUCUGGGUGAAGAUCAUGAAGCCUGUAAAUUGCAAGCUUUCUUUAGGAGACAGCAUGUGGGUUAUUAUUAAAGCAGAAAACAUAUGUGAAUAAUUGAGGAAAAGGAUCCAGCAUUUAGCUCAGAAAAUGUGAAGUCAGCUUGCUGAGAAUAAUGUAUCUCUGCAUUUUGACCUGUUGCUGACAACAAAUAUAUUUCACUAUUACCUGGAUAGCAAUGAUUUUUUUAUUUUUUUUUCCCUCAUCUAAAUGAAAGCCAGUUGAGAGAAGCUGGCAACAGACAAAUGAUGCUCAUUCCACCCCUGCUUUUACUUAAUGGCUGAUAUCAAGAUCCUCAGCAUUCACUGGUGACAUUAGUAUUAAAAACAUAUUUCUUAUCUGGCUCUUUUAUUCCUACAAAUCGAGCAUGGAAAUAAAUCUGUGCUGAUGGAGCAGUGAGCACGCAGCCGUGGGAAGGAGGAGGGCUGGCCCCAGGCCAGAGCCCACCGUGCUCUGCACCUGCCUGGUGCUCACCAGGCAUUCUCUUCACCCAAGGACCUGCAAAAUCCUAACCCUUGAGGGACCCAAAUGCAAUGGACCCCAUGGAGGGGGUUCCAAACUCAAAGGAUAAACCCAAAAGACCCUGUUCAAGAUGACAUGGAGGGCCCCUCAGGUGGUUUCUCUCUGCUGGCAUUCUGGGAGCACCAGGGUGGUGGGCAGAUGAUGCUCGAGGGGAUUUGCAAUAUAUAUGUGUGUGGAUAUAUCAAUAUAUCCAUAUGUCAAUAAGUGGAUGCAAGAAAUAGCUAAGGGCAAAGUAACCCCUAGUAAAUUCUGUGUGGUUGUUGUUCUGAGCAGCAUUUGGUGCGUGCGUGAUAUAUGACCCACAAGCAUCAUCCUACCCGGAUCAGGUCUCUAGGAUUAAAAUUAUAUGAUGAAUUAAAAUUUCAUAUGAAAUUCUAGUUAAUUGAUCUGGUGAGUGCUGGAAAACAUUACUCCUUUUCCCUUUCAUCCCCAGAAAGGCUUUUAUUGGGGCAGAUGAGUAAGUGUUUCACAGUCUUUUCCAUUAUGGAGGAGGGAUUUUUAACCACAAGUGUGGAUGAGAAGAAAUGAAAUUUCCUUACCAGGUUGGCUUAAGGUACUAAAAAAUACCAUAAUGGUUUUUACUGUCAUAGAGGCAAGGUAGGACAACACAGCGAAUCAGAUGAAAUUUAAUGACAAGUGAAAAUGUCAGCGUUGUUUGCAUUAACCAAACAUGAGUUUGAGGUUAUGUUUCUCCUCCAGUUUAUCUGAAUUUCACUGUUUAUUUUAUUAUGAGUCCUUGGGGCAUGGACAAAGCUUUACCUGAUUAUCUGGAGCCAGCAAAGAAAGACAUAACUUCAGGCUUCUUAAGAUCUACAGAUGAGGAACUUUGGAGUCCCGGCAGUGUGUGCAGAAAUGAUCAGGUAACGGCCGUGGGGGAUAAGAGUAUCUGGUGACCAGUUCUAACAGUCACAGGAAAAAAAAACAACCUCCUAACGACACCACCUAAGGACCAAAUGGAAAAAGACAGAGGGCUGGAAGGGGAAGGAAAUCACAGAGUGCCUCUGUACUUGGUGCCAUGUCAGAGAUGGAUGGAUCCUGUUGGUUUUCUCUUUGCAAAAGGCUUAGGUAAGAAGAUGCUGGGUUGUUUAGCUGCAGGAGAUGCUGUGCACUGGGAGAGGAAUCUCAUCGCACUCUGCUCAGUGGAGGUGAGGUGUCUCUGGGCUUCAAAAGCAAACACUGAGAUAUUGAAGCCUCUGCUCUGCAAGCUGCCUGGGCUAGCAGGCAGUAACAUGUCCCUUCGCUUCCAGAAUUCCCCCAGAAAAUAAUGUGAUGUGGCAUCUUCUAUCACUGCCUUUUGCAUUCAGCUCUGCCAGGAUAACAUGGGUCAAAUUGAUCGUAUGAUACUGAUGAGGCCACCGGGUGAAGUUUGGGUGAAAACUGCUUCCAGAUUUAACACCAGCUUUGCCUUUGUACUCCAGCUGAAAGCACAACUGUAUAUUGCACGAGCAUAAGUAACGCAGGAAGGUACUAACCACUUUGGAGCCAGGGUUUUUAUGCAGUUUUUGUUUGUGAUAGUUUUAAUUUACUGCUGAAGUGAGUCUGAGACUGAUAAUUUUUAUGAUUUUUUACUGAGAAAAGACAUUAAGCUACUUACUUUGGCUGCACUUCCUACCCUGCAGAAAUUAUUUAUCCAAGCACAGCAGCAAAGUGGGUCAGGGGAAGGAUUAAAAAAAAAGAAGCUGCCCACAAAAAUCCUGAAUCCCUUGCAAAAGUUGGAUUAAGGCUCAAGAUACUGGAUAAAAACCACUUGCCACCUUCUCCAUUUCAAAGGCGAGGUGUCAGCUCAGGCAGUGACACAAAAAGGCUGCAGAGUUUGAGCUGCAAAAUCGCACUCCCAUGGUCUGCCAAGCUAGCCACAAAGCCAGCAACAGAGAGCAGGAUUCAUCUCUCAAAGCUGCUCUGCCACUACCUCAAAGGCAUGUAAAUUCCAAGGAGCGAGUCGCUUCCUUGACUCCAUGAAAACAGGGCAAAGAAAGUGCUUGGGAAAUGUGGGUGAGCAUCAGUGCCCAUGAGGAAGAGGGGUGGAGAAAGGAAGAGAAAGCUUUUUCUUCCUUUUUUCCUGUGUUUUCUACCACUCAAGCUGAGCUCAAGUUGCAAAAGACAAGCAACCUAGGAUUGAAACACGAGAGGAGCAUGCGGGCUGCCCAACAGCUUCCAGUAGCUCAAGGCUGCAGCAAAACCUUGGGGCAGCUUUGUGCUCCAGGAAAAGUCGUCGUGGUGCAGCUGGGAGGGCUGCAAACCACCUCCACCUCCUGUGCAGGCAAAGCAGGUGAUAGCAUUGUCGGGGGAGCCCCUGGACCAAGGAGGUGAGACAACCACGGUGGGAUUUUCAAAAUCACUCCGAGCAGAAGGAAGUCUGAUCUCACUGAGGUUCAUCAGAGUUUUAUUCCCGGUAUCAGUGGGAGCAUCAUUACUGGUGGUAGAGGCAGGCAGGGUAUGCAUGGGGACAGUGUACACCGGAUGGGAUGCAUCCGGGCAGGCUGGAUGUGCUGUCUGCAGGAUCCCAGCCCUGCCAGGAAAUCUGGCCUUGAUUAAGCCAACAAAGCUUGUUCUUACGAGUGACACCGUCAGCGGCCUCUGUGGGCUAUGUGGGCCAUCUCAGACAGCCCUGUGUUUGCUGUCCUCCUCUCCUCAGGCUCCAGGAAAUGUCUCCAAAUGCCAAGCCCACGAGUGGAAAAGGAGGAUUGGACCUUCAGCUGGAAAUGCAGGUAACUCUAGGGCAAGGAGACUGGUGUUUGCAAAAUAAAAUUCCAGAAUGACUCCAGAUUGCCCUGAUGAAAGCCAGAUUUGUUGCCUCACUUCCAUGUAAGUCAGCUGUUAGGCUGCUCCUUUUCCUUAGGUGUUUCUAUGGCUACUUAAUGAAGCCCUCCCAGCAGCUUCUCACUUGAGAAGUAGGAAUUUGGACAAGUUUGAAGAGCCCUGGGAGGGGGGCAGGGGGUAGAGGGGGAAUAGCCGAGUAAAUCUGGCUUCCCCUCUGAUCAUCCAUCUGCCUUUCCCGACACAAUAGACAUGCUUUUGGUUUCCAUGAAGUGAUUGGAACCAGAGGUGAGACCUGUGGCAAACUGGAAAACAUCGCUCGGCUCAUCCCAUGCGAGCUUUCCUCACCGAAACGUUUCAAAACCAAGCCGUGUGGCACGGAGCCGCCUCAGAUUGCUCACAGAUGUCAGGAUGAAGCGAAGAAGUUCAUAUCCGGCUGUGAGGGAAAGGUCACCGAGGAGCACAGCUCGUGGCAGUCUCCGCAGGCCCACCAGACGUGACGAAAGGGACAUUUGCCACGCAGGCAGCACAUUUUGCAACUCCAACUUCUGCUAGGGCGAGGCUAGGUGUAAGUGUGUACUCAACCUUAGCCACCCUCUGCCUUCCCAAGUGUUUUCCCCAAGUCUUUUUUCCCCUGACUUUUUUGAAGAUCUUCAAGGUGGCUGAUGUGUGACGUGGCUGAUUGUGCAAACGCGGCGUGGCAGACGGUCCACGUGGGAACACGUGCAGCUGGAGGAGCCGUGGGGUUAUACAUUUUGCAGUGUUUGGACUGUUUGUGUGCGUAGCCUGAGUCAGCAGGCUGUGUUUUCUCCCAGGCAAGAAGAGAUAUUUCAUGCAAGCUUCGCCAUCCUGUUCUCGUUUCCUGUGUAUAAGAAAUGACCUGAAGGCGGAGAAGGAGACAAUGCAGAAAACUGCAGCGUGUGAAGGGCACAAAUAAGCCAGGAACAUUUCAAAACAAAGCUUUUCAUCAUCUGACUUAUUUAGCAGCAGAAGAGUUGGGGAAAAGGAGGGGGUUGCUGGCCUGCUGUGGAGACACUGGGAUCCAGCAGGGAAAGGCAGUUGUCACUUAGCCACAGCGAGGAAGAGGAAGCCAAAUCUUCCUGCUGGAGCAGCAUGUGCACUGCUCUGGGGCUGGGUGAUGCUUGGGGCAGGGUGACCAGCUGGAGAGAGGCUCUGCUCAGCCCUGCAGGGUUAUGCAAGCAAGUGGCUGCUUCUGUGCACCAGGAAGGCAAAGAGGUCCCAUCGCCACGGCCGAUACGUGUCCUGGAUCAUCCCCUGCACAAGGGUUUGUGGAUUCGUUCCUGAAGCCUGUCCUGAAGACAGGGGUUCAGGAGAUUUGAAGACCACCGAGUGCCUGUGCCUCUGCCAAAGCAGCAUAUCCACAGCACUGUGGGUGGCACCUGUCACCACUGCUGUUCCUGAUAUUAAUCUCAGCACCCCUCCUCCUUCCACUGCAUGCACGAAUCCUUUAAAAAUCCAGUUUUCAGGACAUACACAUUCUAUUUUCUAUAAACAAAACAACUUAAAAAACCCAUUCAUGACAUACAUCAGCGAAGCACUUUCCAUUCCUAGAAGUUACUCUAUAAAAUUCAGCUCAGCGUUUGAGGGUCUAACUAUCUAAAAGGCUAACACACAGCCUGACUUUGAGCCAGUCAAAGCUCAACACCUCUGAAAACUCAGCCUCGACUCCUCUGGGAAGCAGAAGUUGAACAGGCCACAUGCGAGCUACCGGAGUCCUCCUCUGGAGGAGAUGCAGAGCUGCUAUCUGGAUCACACAUGGCUGGGACCAUCCUGGUGGAGGCUUGCAGGGCUGUGUGUUUCACCCCGGUAGUCUGGUCUGAAUUUCAGCCAGGAAUUCAUGUUACCGAGGUCUGGAGCUGACCUCUUCUGCUGGCAAAACUUCACCCCAUCAGCGACUCCUUCAGUAUUUUUACCCUUCUUCUUGUAUGUGCCUGUUUCGAGAGUACUACAGAUCAGGAACUCUUCCUCGGAUGAAUUGCUCCAUGCCCGGAAUUUGUCGCUGCUUUGGGUCAACAGAAAAAAUGACUCCAAACAUUCAUCAUCAUUAUCGUAAUUAUUACUGUGAUUGCUGCUCUUUGCCAGCAGAAGUUUCUCACCAAGUAAAUACCUGAUAAACUACCAAUAAAUAUGGUUUGCUUCCUGUUUAAAAAAAAUAAUUUCCAACAGGAAUAGCACGUAUUUCUUGCUAACUUGGCUGGUGUGGGCUCAGAGCCGUGUCCACGUGAAUAAGUGGCACACUUGUAUGAGUACCAGCACCAGGCUCUGUAUAACGCGAGUGAAAACAGCAAAAGGUAAGCGGGAAAUAGAUGUCAGCAGUGCUUCUAAUCAUCAUGGGCCUCCUCUGACACAUGUUUUUAAUUAUUAAAAAAAAAAAAAAAAAAGGAAAUAAGAGAAAUAAAACCAGUUAUGAAUAAUCUAAUAAGCUUACCAACCACCUGCGAAUUGUGGCUUCCCAGCUGCACAAAAUCAGAUGCAGGAAUAUAAAACAGAGCAUUCUCCGAGGCAACACACAUUCACAUUAGAUGCACGUAAUGCCAAAGCUGCAGAAGAAAAACGCAUUAAUGCCAUUUCUGGCUCGUGGUGCACAUGCCACUCUGUAAAAGUAUCUUGGAGGAGUGUUUAUGUAAGAAACAGAGAAUCUGCUUUAAAGUCAAAGGUGGAGGGGGGGAAGAUGGAAGCGGGAAACCUGCUCUCUGGCAUCAUUUCAAAUGAAAAAACGACAUCAUCAACAAAGUCCCACAUAGCAUUAAUUUGAGGGAUUGCAGUCCAGCAAGCAAAAUUACUCAAGAAUAAUUAAGCAUGUUUCCUUGGUAUAAAGAUAUUCAGAAGUAGGUGCUCAAGCAGAGUUUGAGGCGGCUUUAUUCAAGAAGUAAUUUGUUUUCCCACUAUGAAAAGAGGGUUAUGUUCACUUCAUUCUGGAGCCUCCCAGCAAACGUCCUCACGAUGCUAUUUUUCAUGGGAAAGAGCUGUUUCAUGGAGGGAAAAAGGUAACAUCCUGACACGGAGGGAAAAGAAGUGAACUGUAUUUCCAAGGCCGUUUUGACAUGUUUUCCUUCUGCACAGAACCAGACUUCAAAUACAGCUUCUUAACCACGACAGCUAAGUGACCCACCCAGAGAACUCUUUUUCCACAAACAAUAUAACGUCAGGAGAAGGAGUCUGAGAGGAAAAGCAAACAGUCCUUAAAGCAACUACUUUAUUUGGAUAGUUCUGAACCACUGGCGUUGGGGGCAGGUUUUAAGUCGGUGGGUGUGAGGAGAGGAAAGCUCAUGGUUUUGAUUUGAAGUAGCCACAUCAAACCCUGUUUCAGUGAAUGGAAUGGCAGUAUUUUGAAAAAUACAUCCUUCUUAAGGGGAUGUUAGGAAAAACAAUCCCAGGGCCUGAUGAAUGACAAAAGCCAACAUGUUGGCUGAGGGGAAAAAAAAGUGCCUGGAAGUGAGAUAGUUGGAGAAAUGCAAGGUGUACCUUCCCUGGUCAGAGCAAUACCUGUUUUGCAAAGAAAAUCGUCUAGCAUCUCUUGCAAUCUUCUAGCCUUUGACUUCAGCUUUCCCAUGCACUCCUGAUAACCACAUUAUAAACCUACUCUGUGUUUUUUACGGUGAUGGAGUCUCGCUUCCCAUGCUACCAGAACAUUACACCUCUCCCAGAUGGCUGCUCUGUGGCCCAAAGGAGACUUUAUUAUUAUUAUUUGUGAACAACUUUGAACAUUUCCACGGGUGAAGAAAAGCAACGUGAGACUUCAGGCAGCUAUUCUGCUUUUCUGGAGGCUUCUGGGAAAGCACGGGAGGCAUGCAAAGAGCAGCAAAGGAUGAAGGAUGGGUGGCAUCCUUAUCAAAGUCCAAGAGUGGGGCAGGUGGCCAGAACAGCCAAGAGACCACAAAUCAGGGCUUUUUCCAACAGGCCAGGAAGUUUCUGGCAGAGGUAUUGAGAAAUCAGCAGUGCACUUCCAAGAAGGUUUCUGAGGUCUGGAAAUGUGUUUUCAUUCUGGUGUGGAACAAGAACCAAACUUUUCAAACCCCAAAAUGUUUUUUGUUGUUGUUGUUGAUGAUGUUAUUGUUGCCAUUGAAACAUCUGUUUUCAGAGUGAGAAGAUCAGGGUUCUCAUUUAGAUCCUUCUCCACUUAUAAAUUGACCCCAGAAACUCUGAAAACUUUCCCAUGGAAAUAUUAUUAGUGGGACUAUUUCACUGUGAGACAUUUUGGUUUGGAUGAAGCAGCAUUUUCCAGCAACAAUGACAACAAAUCUUAUUAAAAUUUUUGAGUUUCUCCA